This 400-nucleotide ribosomal RNA is filed under the name uncultured bacterium. RNAcentral describes it as "bacterial SSU rRNA". It matches the Rfam family "Bacterial small subunit ribosomal RNA", at positions 355 to 771 of the family's 1533-position model. The record is from RNAcentral.
UAGGGAAUAUUGGUAAUGGGCGAAAGCCUGAACCAGCAACGCCGCGUGUGCGAUGAAGGCCUUCGGGUUGUAAAGCACUUUUUGAGGGGAUGAGGUAGGACAGUACCCUCAGAAUAAGUCUCGGCUAACUACGUGCCAGCAGCCGCGGUAACACGUAGGAGACAAGCGUUAUUCGGAUUUACUGGGCGUAAAGCGCGUGCAGGCGGUCUGGUAAGUUGGAUGUGAAAGCUCCUGGCUCAACUGGGAGAGGUCGUUCAAUACUGUCAGACUAGAGAGUGGGAGAGGGAGGUGGAAUUCCGGGUGUAGUGGUGAAAUGCGUAGAUAUCCGGAGGAACACCGAGUGGCGAAAGCGGCCUCCUGGCCCAUUUCUGACGCUUAGACGCGAAAGCUAGGGUAGCAA